Molecule: ribosomal RNA, 253 nt
Filed under: uncultured bacterium
Lineage: Bacteria
Description: partial 16S ribosomal RNA
Rfam family: Bacterial small subunit ribosomal RNA
Source: RNAcentral
GACGGAGGAUGCAAGCGUUAUCCGGAAUGAUUGGGCGUAAAGCGUCCGCAGGUGGCAGUUCAAGUCUGCUGUCAAAGACCGGGGCUUAACUUCGGAAAGGCAGUGGAAACUGAACAGCUAGAGUAUGGUAGGGGAGAAUGGAAUUCCCGGUGUAGCGGUGAAAUGCGCAGAUAUCGGGAGGAACACCGGUGGCGAAGGCGAGUCUCUGGGAUGAUGCUGACGCUGAGGCGCGAAAGCCAGGGGAGCAAACGGG